AUACGUAGGUGGCAAGCGUUGUCCGGAAUUAUCGGGCGUAGAGGGCUCGCAGGCGGUUUCUUAAGUCUGAUGUGAAAGCCCCCGGCUCAACCGGGGAGGGUCAUUGGAAACUGGGGAACUUGAGUGCAGAAGAGGAGAGUGGAAUUCCACGUGUAGCGGUGAAAUGCGUAGAGAUGUGGAGGAACACCAGUGGCGAAGGCGACUCUCUGGUCUGUAACUGACGCUGAGGAGCGAAAGCGUGGGGAGCGAACAGGAUUAGAUACCCUGGUAGUCCACGCCGUAAACGAUGAGUGCUAAGUGUUAGGGGGUUUCCGCCCCUUAGUGCUGCAGCUAACGCAUUAAGCACUCCGCCUGGGGAGUACGGUCGCAAGACUGAA
Molecule: ribosomal RNA, 377 nt
Filed under: uncultured bacterium
Lineage: Bacteria
Description: bacterial SSU rRNA
Rfam family: Bacterial small subunit ribosomal RNA
Source: RNAcentral